Molecule: unclassified non-coding RNA, 349 nt
Filed under: Hevea brasiliensis (rubber tree)
Lineage: Eukaryota; Viridiplantae; Streptophyta; Magnoliopsida; Malpighiales; Euphorbiaceae
Source: RNAcentral
GGCCUUCCUGUUUUGCAUUGCAACUCUACAAAAUUUACUUUGCUUCUCUAUGAUGUUACAACCAAACCUUUUCUUACUUAAGAAUGGGACUAAACAUACAUCAUUUUGCAAAAUUGAUAUGCACAACAUGGCAGGUUAUUGCAAAUAUGUGACAAAUUUCAAGGAGCUGUAACCUGCUCUUCUUCCAAUGCAAGAGGAAAAGCUGGUCUCCAUGUAGUGCCUUCAGGGCUAUCCAUCAAGGCAAUACCUACAGCAGCCAAAUCUUUUCGAAUUACAUCCGAUCUAUCAUAAUCUUUAUUUUUACGUGCUGUAUCCCUCUCCACGAUUUUUUGCUGAACUUGAUCAUCAG